AAGACUAUAGACCUGCGGAGUACCUGCGGAAGGAUCAUUAACAAAUCUCUUUAUGGAGAAAAUCCAUAUAUACCAUGUGAAUUUCUUUGUAUUUGAAAAUAUAAAAGUUAUUUAUAUUUUUAAAACAAAUGAUAUUAAAUUUAUAAACUAUUUAUUUAAAAUGUCUUAUAAAAUAAUUUAAAAAUUAAUACAACUUUUAACAAUGGAUCUCU
Molecule: unclassified non-coding RNA, 212 nt
Filed under: soil metagenome
Description: partial contains 5.8S ribosomal RNA, internal transcribed spacer 2, and large subunit ribosomal RNA
Source: RNAcentral